RNAcentral lists this ribosomal RNA (581 nucleotides) under uncultured bacterium. RNAcentral describes it as "bacterial SSU rRNA". It matches the Rfam family "Bacterial small subunit ribosomal RNA", at positions 338 to 916 of the family's 1533-position model. The record is from RNAcentral.
CCUACGGGAGGCAGCAGUCGAGAAUCUUCGGCAAUGGACGCAAGUCUGACCGAGCGACGCCGCGUGCGGGAUGAAGGCCUUCGGGUUGUAAACCGCUGUCAGAGGGGAUGAAGUGUACGGGAGUUAUCUCCUGUAUUUGACAGAGCCUCAGAGGAAGCACAGGCUAAGUUCGUGCCAGCAGCCGCGGUAAUACGAACUGUGCGAACGUUAUUCGGAAUCACUGGGCUUAAAGGGUGCGUAGGCGGCUGCCUAAGUCAGGUGUGAAAUCUCUCGGCUCAACCGGGAAACUGCGCUUGAUACUGGGCGGCUCGAGUGAGGUAGGGGUGUGUGGAACUUCCGGUGGAGCGGUGAAAUGUGUAGAUAUCGGAAGGAACGCCAGCAGCGAAAGCGGCACACUGGGCCUUUUCUGACGCUGAGGCACGAAAGCUAGGGGAGCGAAUGGGAUUAGAUACCCCGGUAGUCCUAGCCGUAAACACUGAACACUCGAGGAGGGGGCUUCGGCCUUCUUUCUCUUAGCGAAAGCGUUAAGUGUUCCGCCUGGGGAGUAUGGUCGCAAGGCUGAAACUCAAAUGAAUUGACGG